CUGAAGUCUGCGCUGAACAGGGAACUCUCUCGUUUCGGUGGUCUUCGAUAAUCGUUCCUCAGGUCACGCUUCAGUUCCUAUCAAUGGAGGCCGCAUUCUGUCAUUCUCUGACUAUUUCUGGGCUGUCUCCUCUCUCUACAUCAAGCGGCAGAAAAAUAGAAAGAGAUCAUAAGAGUCAAGAGUCGGUGAAGAUCCAUUAUUCAUGUAUUUUAUGAAGACUAUAUGAGUUUAUUCUGUGAUGUGUCCACAGUAGAGAGACCAAAAAGGAUACAUAAGGAAGUUAUAGAAUAAGAUCUCAUGAUGAGUAAUGUUUCUAUAAAAGUUAUUUUUUUAUUGCACACAGGUAUUCUCAGGUACUUUCCUAUUAGAGACAAUUAUGUUCGAGGUACUAUUGAGCAUUAAAUGUGGGUAUUUUUCUCUGUGGGGAUUUGACAAUUAGCUCGUCACUUUGUGAAAAACUAGUUCCUUUUGUUAGACUCAACUGUUAUUGAUUGUUGAUUGAACUCAAUAACAGUUACGCAAUCUAUAUAGCUACCUCGCUUUUGUAAAAUAA
This is a long non-coding RNA of Prosopis cineraria, 553 nucleotides long. RefSeq lists it as uncharacterized. The transcript has 2 exons. The record is from RefSeq and is a predicted model, not a curated record. Lineage: Eukaryota; Viridiplantae; Streptophyta; Magnoliopsida; Fabales; Fabaceae.